RNAcentral lists this long non-coding RNA (2396 nucleotides) under Homo sapiens (human). RNAcentral's name for it is "HSALNT0253837". Lineage: Eukaryota; Metazoa; Chordata; Mammalia; Primates; Hominidae. The record is from RNAcentral.
CUGGAGGCUCAAGGCUCUCAGGCUCACCUGUUAUAACUGGUUUGCAUGUCUCAUAUCAGAUUUUUUAAAGACAACGAACUUUGGAACAAGAACCCCUUAUUGUUACUCUGUGUGCUGUUCUGAUGAAGGUCCUCAGGUUUUCUUCUCUCUCUUUACCUUCUGUUCUCAGACAGCUCCUGGGAGCUGCAGCCCUGAGGAGGCUUUAUCUCUGGACACUUGUUUUUGCACUGGGGGGUCCGGGGCCGCCCCACCCCUCACUGUCUGACUAAACCACACAGAAGGUUAAGCAGCAAAUUCGAGGCUCCCUCCUCAGAGAUGCCUUUUUAAGAAAGACCCAGUGUACUCAGGCUGAGAUCAGAGCCCCUGGGCCAGGCGGCCGCGAGUGCUUCUUGGAGCCGGUGAGCACAGACUUGGCGUCGUGAGAUCGUGGAGCAGGCCUCUCCCUCUGCAUCGGGGCUCAGGGCUCAGCAGGGACAGGGAGCACACAGCGGCUCCCCGCACGGCAGCAGGGCAACCACGACGACUCCAGUGCAGAGAGCGUGGCCUCGGCCUCAGCCUCCGGCCCCUGCACGGCCUGUCAGCUGUGUGGACUCCUAGUCAUGUAAGAGUUGGAGAGUCAGGAAUCCGGGAAGAAGAGCUCACGCCCCCUGCCCUCCUCUGGGCAGACCUGGAGCUGCUAAUGCUUCAACAUGCUCGUGCCUCAAGGGAGCACCACCCCGGCCUCGGCAGUGAUGAGGCUGCCCAGCCGCACGGGGAGGCCACGGACCAGAGGUCACAGAGGGCAAGGCUGUGGCGAGCAGGAGAAAUGAGAACCACCUGGGGCAGGAGUUUCUCAAAUCAGGAAGGGACAGGAGCAUGGAGGAAGAAGAGCGGGAACUUGCAGAAAAAGAACCAAAGACAGACACAGCUGCAGACAGGUUUCGCCUCUGCAUGCAGGUGCACAGCCUUUUCAUUCCUGUCUUCAUAUUAAAUAUCGUUUUCCCAGGCUAUCCAACCCAGAGGACAGCUAACACCCGAAUGUGAACGGCUGUGCAGUGUGAGGCUCACCUACACGGCACAGACCCCACCAACACUCCCCAAAAUAUCCACCACUCUCGGAAGUCUACAAGUCCCACUUGAAUUUUUUUAGAUAACCUCAUUUCCUGCUGCCUUCCCAACUGUGUGGGAGCCAUUCAAUACGAUGGCUGUCACCGUCCUCCAGGACAGUCCUCCACCCUAGAGCUGUCUCAACCCUCCAGGACAGUCCUCCAUCCUAGAGCUGUCUCAAUCCUUCAGCACAGUCCUCCACCCUAGAGCUGUCUCCAUCCUCCAUGACAGUCCUCCACCCUAGAGCUGUCUCCAUCCUCCAGGACAGUCCUCCACCCUAGAGCUGUCUCCAUCCUCCAUGACAGUCCUCCACCCUAGAGCUGUCUCAACCCUCCAGGACAGUCAUUCAUCUUAGAACUGUCUGCAUCCUCCGUGACAGUGCUCUACCCUAGAGCUGUCACCACCCUCCAGAACAGCCCUUCACCCUAGAGCUGUCACCACCCUCCAGGAUAAUUCCUCCACCCUAGAGCUGCCUCCAUCCUCUAUGACAGUCCACCCUAGAGCUAUCUUCGUCUUCCAGGACAGUCUUCCACCCUAGAGCUAUUGCCAUCCUUCGUGACAGUCCUUUGCCCUAGAGCUAUGGCCAUGCUCCAUGACAGUCCUCCACCCUAGAGCUGUCACCAUCCUCCAGGACAGUCCUCCACUCUAGAGCUGUCCCUUUUUCCAGGACAGUCCUUCACCCUGGAGCUGUCUCCAUCCUCUGUGACAGUCCACCCUAGAGCUAUCGCCAACCUCCAGUACAGUCCUACACUCUAGAGGUGACUCAAUCCUCUGUGACAGUCCUCCACCCUAGAGCUGUCUCAACCCUCCAGGACAGUCUUCCACCCUAGAGCUGUCUCAAUCCUCCAGGACAGUCCUCUAUCCUAGAGCUGUCUCAGUCCUCCAGGGCAGUCCUCCACCUUAGAGCUGUCUUCAUCCUCCAUGGCAGUCCUCCACCCUAGAGCUGUCUCCAUCCUCCAUGACAGUCCUACAUCCUAGAGGUGUCUCAAUCCUCUGUGACAGUCCUCCACCCUAGAGCUGUCACCAACCUCCAGAACAGUCCUCCACCCUAGAGCUGUCUCCAUUGUCUAUGACAGUGCACCCUAGAGCUGUCUCCGUCAUCCAUUACAGUCCUCCACCAUAGAGCUGUCUCCAUCCUCCAUAACAGUGCACCCUAGAACAGUCUCCAUCCUCCAUGACAGUCCUUCACCUUAGAGCUGUCUCCAUCCUCCAGGACAGUCCUCCACCCUAGAGCUGUCUUCAUCCUCCAGGACAGUCCUCCACCCUAGAGCUCUCUCCAGCUCACUGCAAGGUCUGCCUCCCGGGUUCAU